This 380-nucleotide long non-coding RNA is filed under the name Olea europaea (common olive). RNAcentral's name for it is "long non-coding RNA (OEUR_LNC011740)". The record is from RNAcentral. Lineage: Eukaryota; Viridiplantae; Streptophyta; Magnoliopsida; Lamiales; Oleaceae.
GCAUGAGAAAGUUAAUGAGCUUAUUUUGGUUUAGAAAUUUCCUUCUGCCCAAAGGUGUUGGUAUUUCAAAAACCAGUGUAAUUUUGUUAACUAGCUACAUGAUGUGUUUUAAGAGUACCUUAUAGCAUGUUGUAUUGUCGACCCAAAGGUGACUUUAUGAUGAUGCAUCUAGGCUCUUACCGUAAUAAAAUUUAUAUGUUUCGAUUUAAAUUACGGAUUAUCUAAUUAAUAGCCCAUAUUAAUUAGUUGGAUAUUAUAUCAUCUAUUUGAUUGCAUGCAUUAAGUUUGGAUGAUAUUAAGAGUGAUAUUUUAUGUUUCCACAGUUUAUAAUGCCUCAUCUCUUUCGAAUCAAUUGUCUGCUAUUGAAACUUUGACUGGGA